Molecule: ribosomal RNA, 505 nt
Filed under: uncultured bacterium
Lineage: Bacteria
Description: partial 16S ribosomal RNA
Rfam family: Bacterial small subunit ribosomal RNA
Source: RNAcentral
GACGAACGCUGGCGGCGUGCCUAAUACAUGCAAGUAGAACGCACAGUUUAUACCGUAGCUUGCCACACCAUACACUGUGAGUUGCGAACGGGUGAGUAACGCGUAGGUAACCUGCCUGGUAGCGGGGGAUAACUAUUGGAAACGAUAGCUAAUACCGCAUAAUAUUGAUUAUUGCAUGAUAAUUGAUUGAAAGAUGCUAUUGCAUCACUACCAGAUGGACCUGCGUUGUAUUAGCUAGUAGGUGAGGUAACGGCUCACCUAGGCGACGAUACAUGGCCGACCUGAGAGGGUGAUCGGCCACACUGGGACUGAGACACGGCCCAGACUCCUACGGGAGGCAGCAGUAGGGAAUCUUCGGCAAUGGACGAAAGUCUGACCGAGCAACGCCGCGUGAGUGAAGAAGGUUUUCGGAUCGUAAAGCUCUGUUGUAAGAGAAGAACGGGUGUGAGAGUGGAAAGUUCACACUGUGACGGUAUCUUACCAGAAAGGGACGGCUAACUACGUG